RNAcentral lists this unclassified non-coding RNA (229 nucleotides) under plant metagenome. RNAcentral describes it as "partial contains small subunit ribosomal RNA, internal transcribed spacer 1, and 5.8S ribosomal RNA". The record is from RNAcentral.
UCUCCGUAGGUGAACCUGCGGAGGGAUCAUUACAGAGUCCAUGCCCUACCGGUUAGUUCUCCCACCCUAUGUUCUUAUUACUUUGUUGCUUUGGCCGGCCGUUAGGCUCCGGCCCGACUACCGGGCCCGGCUGGUAAGCGCCCGCCAGAGGACCCAAAACCCUGAAUAUUAGUGUCGUCUGAGUACCAUAUAAUAGUUAAAACUUUCAACAACGGAUCUCUUGGUUCUG